AGUGAACGCUGGCGGUAGGCCUAACACAUGCAAGUCGAACGGCAGCACAGGAGAGCUUGCUCUCUGGGUGGCGAGUGGCGGACGGGUGAGGAAUACAUCGGAAUCUACUCUGUCGUGGGGGAUAACGUAGGGAAACUUACGCUAAUACCGCAUACGACCUACGGGUGAAAGCAGGGGAUCUUCGGACCUUGCGCGAUUGAAUGAGCCGAUGUCGGAUUAGCUAGUUGGCGGGGUAAAGGCCCACCAAGGCGACGAUCCGUAGCUGGUCUGAGGGGAUGAUCCGCCACACUGGAACUGAGACACGGUCCAGACUCCUACGGGAGGCAGCAGUGGGGAAUAUUGGACAAUGGGCGCAAGCCUGAUCCGGCCAUACCGCGUGGGUGAAGAAGGCCUUCGGGUUGUAAAGCCCUUUUGUUGGGAAAGAAAUCCAGCUGGCUAAUACCCGGUUGGGAUGACGGUACCCAAAGAAUAAGCACCGGCUAACUUCGUGCCAGCCGCCGCCGUAA
Molecule: ribosomal RNA, 506 nt
Filed under: uncultured bacterium
Lineage: Bacteria
Description: partial 16S ribosomal RNA
Rfam family: Bacterial small subunit ribosomal RNA
Source: RNAcentral